AUUCCCGAGGCUGAUCCAUUAGAAGAAGGAUUGAAAC
Molecule: non-coding RNA, 37 nt
Organism: Spirosoma linguale DSM 74
Lineage: Bacteria; Pseudomonadati; Bacteroidota; Cytophagia; Cytophagales; Cytophagaceae
Source: Rfam